Molecule: long non-coding RNA, 255 nt
Organism: Chinchilla lanigera (long-tailed chinchilla)
Lineage: Eukaryota; Metazoa; Chordata; Mammalia; Rodentia; Chinchillidae
Exons: 2
Source: RefSeq, a predicted model, not a curated record
AUGCUCUGCCCCACCACUCCUGUCCCAGUAAGUAAAAGCCUUCUGGUUGGGGCUUGGUACCUGGCACUGAGAUCAAUUUAGAAGUUCCCAGUUCCAUUCAGAGGCUCCAUGAUGCUCCAUGAAUUAAAUACCACCUACCAUGGCCAGACAUUGCCAGACCUUUCAGAGACACCACCAGGCAUCAGGGUCGAGCAGUCUCUCUACUGUGUCAUUGCCCUUAUUUUUGUGGAAUAAAAUAAGCCAAGAGAUAAUUAA